RNAcentral lists this ribosomal RNA (810 nucleotides) under uncultured bacterium. RNAcentral's name for it is "bacterial SSU rRNA". It matches the Rfam family "Bacterial small subunit ribosomal RNA", at positions 8 to 796 of the family's 1533-position model. The record is from RNAcentral.
AGAGUUUGAUCCUGGCUCAGAACGAACGCUGGCGGCGUGGAUAAGACAUGCAAGUCGAGCGAGAUUUUUUCCUGUAGCAAUACAGGGAAAAGUCUAGCGGCGAACGGGUGCUUAACACGUGGGCAACCUGCCAAGAAGUGGGGGAUAGCUCGCCGAAAGGCGAAUUAAUACCGCAUGUGAUCAGAGUGGACAUCCAUUCGAAAUCAAAGUCGGGGCAACCUGACGCUUCUUGAGGGGCCCGCGGCCUAUCAGCUAGUUGGUGAGGUAACGGCCCACCAAGGCUUAGACGGGUAGCUGGUCUGAGAGGACGACCAGCCACACUGGGACUGAGACACGGCCCAGACACCUACGGGUGGCAGCAGUCGAGAAUUUUUCUCAAUGGGGGAAACCCUGAAGGAGCGACGCCGCGUGGAGGAUGAAGGUCUUCGGAUUGUAAACUCCUGUCAUUGGGGAACAAUGCGUAAAUAUUAACUGUAUUUGCGUUGAUAGUACCCGAAGAGGAAGAGACGGCUAACUCUGUGCCAGCAGCCGCGGUAAUACAGAGGUCUCAAGCGUUGUUCGGAUUCAUUGGGCGUAAAGGGUGCGUAGGCGGCGCGGUAAGUCGGGUGUGAAAUCUCGGAGCUUAACUCCGAAACUGCAUUCGAUGCUGCCGUGCUUGAGGACUGGAGAGGAGACUGGAAUUUACGGUGUAGCGGUGAAAUGCGUAGAUAUCGUAAGGAAGACCAGUGGCGAAGGCGGGUCUCUGGACAGUUCCUGACGCUGAGGCACGAAGGCCAGGGGAGCAAACGGGAUUAGAUACCCUAGUAGUCC